Molecule: long non-coding RNA, 800 nt
Organism: Panicum hallii
Lineage: Eukaryota; Viridiplantae; Streptophyta; Magnoliopsida; Poales; Poaceae
Exons: 2
Source: RefSeq, a predicted model, not a curated record
GCAGAGGAGGCCGCGCUGGUGCCGCCGGGCGCCGGCGACAUCUACUCGCCCCGUGCCGUCGUGCGCCCCAGGCGAUGCCUCGUCGAGAUUCGCUCUCCUACGCCCUAGCCGUUCCUCCGUCUCCCCGCACGCGCCGCUCACGGUCCAAGCUCCUGCGAAGUUAUUGCUGCGGCGGCGCCGGCGCGUCGGGACCGGAGCUGGGUGCCCUGAGAUGGUGACGGACCUUCAAUAUUCAGAUGGGCGAGGCGGCUAUCACGGGCAAGCUUCUGCUCCAUCAUUCUAGAGUGGGCUGCUUGGCUGCGGCUUUGCGAGCAAAGCAGAUCGGGCGGUCGGUCUCGGCGACGGAGACGCGAGCGCCGGUCGUGUUCUUGACCUCAGCAACGACAUGCCCAAGUGCAGAAACGACAUGAAUUCUCAGACAAAAACACACGCGAUGCAGUACCUGUACCAACACUCUAAUCUGGAGACUGGAGACUGCAACGACAUAAACAUUCAGGGAGUAGACAAGGGAAGAAAGGAGACCAAGCACAAGAAUGUAUCUGACGAAACGAAAUGCCCAGUCAUGAGCAGCUUGCUAUUCCACAUCCAGAAAACGCAGAAAUGUUUCUACGGCCGCAGCACAAGUGGGGCACCUUAUUGGACUGAUUUUUCAGACAACCAGAGAGACAUAAAGCUCAGAUCCGGUUACAGCAAGUUACCAAUGCCUCAGCCACUAGGUACAAGCACACAUCUUCAGCUUGUCAACAUCCGUAUCCCUGUACCCUCAAAAAAAAAAAACAUCCGUAUCCCUGUCUCCGAAA